GACGAACGCUGGCGGCGUGCCUAAUACAUGCAAGUCGAGCGCUGAAGGCUGGUUCUUGUUGUAACUGGAGGAGACGCGAACGGGUGAGUAACGCGUGGGGAAUCAGCCUUUGGGCGGGGGCCAACAUAUGGGAACGAAUGCUAGUACCGAAUAAAAGCUUUAAACACAAGGUUUAAGCUGGAAUGAUGCAAUUGCAUCAAGCAAAGAUGAAUGCGCGGUUUAUUAGCUAGUUGGUGAGGUAAAGGAUCACCAAGGCGAGGAUACAUAGCCGACCGGAGAGGGUGAUCGGCCACAUUGGGACUGAGACACGGCCCACACUCCUACGGGCGGCGGCAGUAGGGAGUCUUGGGCAAUGGACGAAAGUCGGACCGCGCAACGAGGCGUGAGUGGAGAAGGUUUUCGGAUCGUAAAACUCUGUUGGUAGAGAAGAACGUUGGUGAGAGUGGAAAGCUCAUGUAGUGACGGUAACGACACAGAAAGGAACGGCUAACUACGUG
This 497-nucleotide ribosomal RNA is filed under the name uncultured bacterium. Its description in RNAcentral is "partial 16S ribosomal RNA". It matches the Rfam family "Bacterial small subunit ribosomal RNA", at positions 28 to 507 of the family's 1533-position model. The record is from RNAcentral.